CGCACGACACUGCUUCAGAGUCGACACUUGAGUCGAGGUGCAGGUAAAAUGUCAUCCCAAACGACUUUUAGUAUUCCAUCAAGUGGCGGACUAAAUGCAUCAAAAAGAAUAAUUAUGUAAGAAUAAGACAAAAGUCGAACGAAACAUUUUCUCAUAUUAACUUAUUUCGGUUCGGCUCGCGGACACUUUUUCUCACAACAUUUGUAGAACUCAAAUGGAUAAAAGUUGGUUUAUUGGAAUGUACAUAAACACUCACGAACUUGCAAUUUACCCAGAAACAAUGCGGUGAAGAUAACAAAAAAAAAUAUUCGAGAAAGAAACGUCAGGCGCGUAGAAAAUGUAUUUCACUUUUGGAGCAAUUCCGCAGACCAACACUAAUGUGUCUCCAGUGAGCAAGACAUGACGUCAGUUUCGCAUCGCGUGACCCAUAUUAUGAAUAAUCCACGAGUAGGCGGUACACACCAAAUACUUUGAAUACAAGAAGCGGAGGCAGGGUGGGGGUCCCCACACCCACCCACGAGGAGCAUCAGAAAAGGAAAGCAUGUGCCACUUGAUGCGCACCCAGCCUUGGCCGCCGCCAAUCGGGGGCGAGCACACUCGUACGUCGCCGCCGCCCGACUGCGCGGCUCGGGCGCUCGGGACGCGCCUGCGGCUGAUCGGGGACCAGCUGGACAGGCGUCGCAGGGAGAUGGCCGGCGAAGACAACGGAGGCUUGACGUACGCGUGCACAGUCGCGCGCGUAGGCGUGUGCGCGCUGCUGCUGUUGCUCUUCACUAGACGACACUUAUAGCAAGGCAACUCGCGACCGCAGACAAAAGACAAGGAUGACGAGCGUGUAACUCAACCAGUCCGAGGCACCGGAGGAGAGGCUACGUGAUGAGGAAUGAAUACGCCUUGCGCCUCUUCUUUCUCCUCUGCCACAUGCAGUGAUGUCAUCUUCCCUGCUGAUUCAUGGCAAUGAGAAGGGGGGGGGUGUUGAGAAGCAGUGUCAAUUGUGUGUAUAGACGGACGGAAGCUGUUGAACCAAGUUUCAUCCAGAUUGCACAUUUGGCUGUCAUGUAAACGGCGAGCGUGUGAAACCAGUUCCGAGUCGUGGAAAGGUUCCAGCCUCGGGGCCAAAGACUGCGGGCUCUCUCGAUAACGCAUUGGACGGAUGAAGUAUGGCGAUGUAAUAUGAAGACGACAACUUAUUUGUAAUAUUGAAAUGUAUUCUGGUAGAGUUACGGUUUUUUCAUUGAUUUUUUUUUUUUACUGUUGGAUUUUAAUUUCAUCCUUACAAUCGAAUGAAUACCUUUAGCAGCUUUAACCCUCCGUGUCAUCUCACAUCUUCAGCCUCAUUAUAAAAGAUGUUGCAUCACACUUCAACAAAGACAAAGUAGGAAUUUGACCAGAAUUAAGUGAUGUUAAAAGUAAAGCGGGAAAAAUUCAGAUUAAAAGUAAAAAGAUUAGAUUUUACUGGAAAAGGUGCCGGAUGGUAAUAGAAAAAAAAA
Long non-coding RNA from Hippocampus comes (tiger tail seahorse), 1490 nucleotides. RefSeq lists it as uncharacterized. Lineage: Eukaryota; Metazoa; Chordata; Actinopteri; Syngnathiformes; Syngnathidae. The transcript has 2 exons. The record is from RefSeq and is a predicted model, not a curated record.